UGCCGGUGUGAGUAGCGAAAGACGGGUGAGAAUCCCGUCCACCGAUUGACUAAGGUUUCCAGAGGAAGGCUCGUCCGCUCUGGGUUAGUCGGGUCCUAAGCUGAGGCCGACAGGCGUAGGCGAUGGAUAACAGGUUGAUAUUCCUGUACCACCUAUAAUCGUUUUAAUCGAUGGGGGGACGCAGUAGGAUAGGCGAAGCGUGCGAUUGGAUUGCACGUCUAAGCAGUAAGGCUGAGUAUUAGGCAAAUCCGGUACUCAUUAAGGCUGAGCUGUGAUGGGGAGAAGACAUUGUGUCUUCGAGUCGUUGAUUUCACACUGCCGAGAAAAGCCUCUAGAUAGAAAAUAGGUGCCCGUACCGCAAACCGACACAGGUAGUCAAGAUGAGAAUUCUAAGGUGAGCGAGCGAACUCUCGUUAAGGAACUCGGCAAAAUGACCCCGUAACUUCGGGAGAAGGGGUGCUCUUUAGGGUUAACGCCCAGAAGAGCCGCAGUGAAUAGGCCCAAGCGACUGUUUAUCAAAAACACAGGUCUCUGCUAAACCGUAAGGUGA
RNAcentral lists this ribosomal RNA (550 nucleotides) under Staphylococcus aureus. RNAcentral's name for it is "partial 23S ribosomal RNA". It matches the Rfam family "Bacterial large subunit ribosomal RNA", at positions 1295 to 1841 of the family's 2925-position model. The record is from RNAcentral. Lineage: Bacteria; Bacillati; Bacillota; Bacilli; Caryophanales; Staphylococcaceae.